Molecule: transfer RNA, 75 nt
Filed under: Puniceicoccales bacterium
Lineage: Bacteria; Pseudomonadati; Verrucomicrobiota; Opitutia; Puniceicoccales
Description: tRNA-Thr
Rfam family: tRNA
About the family: Transfer RNA (tRNA) molecules are approximately 80 nucleotides in length. Their secondary structure includes four short double-helical elements and three loops (D, anti-codon, and T loops).
Source: RNAcentral
GCCAGCAUAGCACAGUGGUAGUGCAGCCGCCUUGUAAGCGGCAGGUCGUCAGUUCGAGUCUGACUGCUGGCUCCA